This is a transfer RNA of 75 nucleotides. It matches the Rfam family "tRNA". From Rfam's summary of the family: Transfer RNA (tRNA) molecules are approximately 80 nucleotides in length. Their secondary structure includes four short double-helical elements and three loops (D, anti-codon, and T loops).
UCCCCCGUGGUGUAAUCGGCAACACUGCUCACUUUGGAUGAGUUAUUCCAGGUUCGAGUCCUGGCGGGGGAGCAA